Molecule: RNase P RNA, 382 nt
Filed under: Crocinitomicaceae bacterium
Lineage: Bacteria; Pseudomonadati; Bacteroidota; Flavobacteriia; Flavobacteriales; Crocinitomicaceae
Description: RNase P RNA component class A
Rfam family: Bacterial RNase P class A
About the family: Ribonuclease P (RNase P) is a ubiquitous endoribonuclease, found in archaea, bacteria and eukarya as well as chloroplasts and mitochondria. Its best characterised activity is the generation of mature 5'-ends of tRNAs by cleaving the 5'-leader elements of precursor-tRNAs.
Source: RNAcentral
ACCGCAAACUGGCUUAUCGCGUUAUUAAGUAAAUUUUUAAUGAGGAAAGUCCGGGCAGCAAAGAGCAACAUACUUCCUAACGGGAAGGGGCUUAUUAAAUAUGCAAUAAGUUACAGAUAGUGCCACAGAGAAUAGACUGCCUAUGUUGAGUUUUCUCAACAGGCGAGCGUGAAACGGUGAGGUAAGAGCUCACCAGUGCAAUUGGUGACAAUUGCAGCUAGGUAAACCUUAUGUGCUGAAAAACCAAAUAUACCAGGGCUUGAAGAUUGCUCGUUUGAUCCUGGAGGGUAGGUUGCUUGAGGUUAUCAGUAAUGGUAAUCCUAGAUAAAUGAUAAGCAUUUCGAAAGAAAAACAGAACCCGGCUUAUAGGUUUGUGUAAAAU